RNAcentral lists this ribosomal RNA (253 nucleotides) under uncultured bacterium. RNAcentral's name for it is "partial 16S ribosomal RNA". It matches the Rfam family "Bacterial small subunit ribosomal RNA", at positions 524 to 776 of the family's 1533-position model. The record is from RNAcentral.
UACAGAGGUGGCAAGCGUUGUUCGGAUUUACUGGGCGUAAAGGGUCCGUAGGCGGUUUGAAAAGUCAUAUGUGAAAGCCCACAGCUCAACUGUGGAACUGCAUCUGAAACUUUCGAACUAGAGUAUGAUAGGGGUUAAGGGAAUUCCCGGUGUAAGGGUGAAAUCUGCAGAGAUCGGGAGGAACACCAGUCGCGAAGGCGCUUAACUGGCUCAUUACUGACGCUAAGGGACGAAAGCUAGGAUAGCAAACGGG